This is a long non-coding RNA of Eucalyptus grandis, 438 nucleotides long. RefSeq lists it as uncharacterized. Lineage: Eukaryota; Viridiplantae; Streptophyta; Magnoliopsida; Myrtales; Myrtaceae. The record is from RefSeq and is a predicted model, not a curated record. The transcript is spliced from 3 exons.
CUAUAGGCAGAAUUAAAAGUAAUGAGAAAGCUGACCAUGAAACUGUUGAGCAGGCCAUUGAUCACAGGACUCAGAUGGUUCUCUUCAAAUUGCUCGACUGUCAAGUAUUUAAUGAUAUAAAUGGUUGCAUUUCCACUGGUCAAGAAGUAUGCUGUUAUCUAUAGUCAGCAGUGCCCACUACUUCCGUAUUUCUAGCAAUCAAUUGCAAAUGUCUAUCUGCAACAAAAUCUGACGGGCAAGAAUUGGCAAUUAAAGUCUACAAGACUUCAGUGCUGGUGUUUAAGUAAGUGUGAUAGUUUUUAGUUGUUUGUGAGGCGCCUUCAUGGGUGUUCGAAAGUGCAAUACUGCAUUUCGCUACAAGUUUGUGAUAUUUAUUCUUUCUCGAAUUGACGAUUGAUAUACAGGUUCUGUUUGUUGUGAUGGCAGUCACUGCUAGAU